This 301-nucleotide ribosomal RNA is filed under the name uncultured bacterium. RNAcentral describes it as "partial 16S ribosomal RNA". It matches the Rfam family "Bacterial small subunit ribosomal RNA", at positions 509 to 809 of the family's 1533-position model. The record is from RNAcentral.
CAGUAGCCGCGGGAAUACGAAGGGGGCUAGCGUUGCUCGGAAUGACUGGGCGUAAAGGGCGCGUAGGCGGAUAGGACAGUCAGAUGUGAAAUUCCUGGGCUCAACCUGGGGGCUGCAUUUGAUACGUCUUGUCUAGAGUGAGGAAGAGGGUCGUGGAAUUCCCAGUGUAGAGGUGAAAUUCGUAGAUAUUGGGAAGAACACCGGUGGCGAAGGCGGCGACCUGGUCCUUGACUGACGCUGAGGCGCGAAAGCGUGGGGAGCAAACAGGAUUAGAUACCCCUGUAGUCCCUGUCUCUUAUCA